CAUGGUAGCUUGCUACCGAUGACGACCGGCGCACGGGUGCGCAACGCGUAUACAAUCUGCCCCCUACUGUGGGAUAGCCCAGAGAAAUUUGGAUUAAUACCACAUGGUACCAUAUUACGGCAUCGUAUUUAUGGUUAAAGGUUACGGUAGGGGAUGAGUAUGCGUCCCAUUAGUUAGUUGGUGAGGUAACGGCUCACCAAGACCGCGAUGGGUAGGGGCCCUGAGAGGGGGAUCCCCCACACUGGUACUGAGACACGGACCAGACUCCUACGGGAGGCAGCAGUGAGGAAUAUUGGACAAUGGGCGGGAGCCUGAUCCAGCCAUGCCGCGUGCAGGAAGAAUGCCCUAUGGGUAGUAAACUGCUUUAUACGGGAAGAAAAGGGCUACGUGUAGCCACUGACGGACCGUAAAAUAAGGACCGGCUAACUCCGUGCCAGCAGCCGCGGUAUACGGAGGGUCGAGCGUAUCCGGAAUUUUGGGUUUAAGGGUCCUAGGCGGGCC
RNAcentral lists this ribosomal RNA (501 nucleotides) under Zobellia galactanivorans. Its description in RNAcentral is "bacterial SSU rRNA". It matches the Rfam family "Bacterial small subunit ribosomal RNA", at positions 71 to 581 of the family's 1533-position model. The record is from RNAcentral. Lineage: Bacteria; Pseudomonadati; Bacteroidota; Flavobacteriia; Flavobacteriales; Flavobacteriaceae.